AUAACAUGGCAGUACAGUUGACAGUUGAAGCUAUUCGCUGUUAAUCCUUCAUGCCUUGUUAGAGCAACAAAACGUCCCAUUUUACUACUAAUUUAGCGAUUUUGGGAUGUGCAAUGAGAAUGUUCGUCACGAUUGUGCAGCCUAAAUCGUGACUGCUGAUAGUUGCAUACAUUA
Drosophila albomicans is the source of this 174-nucleotide non-coding RNA. The record is from RefSeq and is a predicted model, not a curated record. NCBI's taxonomy places the organism in Eukaryota, Metazoa, Arthropoda, Insecta, Diptera, Drosophilidae.